Molecule: ribosomal RNA, 198 nt
Filed under: Oidiodendron sp.
Lineage: Eukaryota; Fungi; Ascomycota; Leotiomycetes; Myxotrichaceae
Description: partial large subunit ribosomal RNA
Rfam family: Eukaryotic large subunit ribosomal RNA
Source: RNAcentral
AGUAACGGCGAGUGAAGCGGCAACAGCUCAAAUUUGAAAUCUGGCCCCCUCGGGGUCCGAAUUGUAAUUUGGAGAAGAUGCUUUGGGUGUGGCCCCGGUCCAAGUUCCUUGGAACAGGACGUCACAGAGGGUGAGAAUCCCGUACGUGUCCGGCGGCCCCCCCGUGUAAAGCUCUUUCGACGAGUCGAGUUGUUUGGG